Molecule: ribosomal RNA, 438 nt
Filed under: Baicalellia canadensis
Lineage: Eukaryota; Metazoa; Platyhelminthes; Rhabdocoela; Provorticidae
Description: partial 16S ribosomal RNA
Rfam family: Bacterial large subunit ribosomal RNA
Source: RNAcentral
UCUUAGGGGUUAAUCUUAAGUAUGGCGUGCCCAGUGUGAAAAUAAACGGCUGCGGUAUCUUAACCGCACGAAGGUAGCAUAAUUACUUGUCUUUUAAAUAAAGACUUGUUUGAAUGGUUUUAUGAGAAGUUUAAUGUUUUACCGUACAUGUUAGAAUUUGAGGUACAAGGUAAAGAUUCCUGUGUGCGUAAAAAAGACGAGAAGACCCUAAAAUUUUUUCCACGUAUCGUGGUUUCGAUGGGGUAUCGGGCUUUAUUUUAUCUGGUCUUGAGAUCAAUUGAUAUAUUAAUUGAGCAAAAAAAUACUUUAGGGAUAACAGGACAAUCAUAGUUUAGAGUUCUGAUUUAAACUAUUGUUUGUUACCUCGAUGUUGAAUCAUUAGACCUUCCCCUAGCAGCUUAGGGAGGAGGGGGCCUGUUCGGCCUUUUAAGUUUUACG